AUAAAAGGAGGGUAGUUGGCCAUCCAAUACGUUUCUAGUUUUCCAGCCACUUAAGAAAUGACAAGAUUCGAAACAUGGACUUGAAUCCACUUCCACGUCAAACUAAUUACUAGACAUACAAUAAUUAACCGUCAAGCUUUUCUAACAAAAUAUAACUUUAUUGUUUAUUUUUUAAAUAACCUAGACCAUAUAAUGUCAGAUCGAGACCAAGCAUAAAGAUAUAUGUUUUCGAAAACCAAAACCUUGAACCAACUUAAAACCUCUAAGGUUGAGCAAGGUAAAGACCCUAACCAUCCAAUCCACAUGAGAACUCUAUAUCAAAUGACUGAGGCCACCUAACACAAAAUAAAGAGAUAAUCAGCUGACACCAUCUGCUCACCGCAUACUGAACACCCCCCAAACUAGACUCCAACAAAAUUUAACGCCUUAGAAGGUUUUGCCUAAUUGGAAAUCUAUCCUAAAGCAACUGCCAAGAGAACACAACAACAUUAGAAUGUGCCAAACUCAUCCAAAUCUUAGAGAACCCCUUCAGAACCUUCUCUGACCUACAUUUCCUGACCAUUAACGAAACCACCAAAGUGUUGUAGGCAGAACUGACCGAAAAACCCUACCUAGAUAUGGUUUCCAGAUCCAUAAAUCUUCCUAGCCAUGCCUAGAAUUACGGGAAAUUAGGUCUACCAACGUCGCUAGGAUCCCUUCCUCCCACACUGGGAAAGUUCGUCUCCACAUAAAGUUUCAAACUCAGACAUCUUAAUUCCAAAAACCCUUAAAACUCACCAUCAAAUAAGAAAUAAUCUCUCGAAAGAGACACAAAAAGGGGGUAGGACAUACCCAGACAUCGUGCAAAACCUAGUCUUCAGCCUAUCCCUAACCCUUUUCACACAAGUAAAACCCUUAAAACUCACCAUCAAAUAAGAAAUAAUCUCUCGAAAGAGACACAAAAAGGGGGUAGGACAUACCCAGACAUCGUGCAAAACCUAGUCUUCAGCCUAUCCCUAACCCUUUUCACACAAGA
RNAcentral lists this long non-coding RNA (1015 nucleotides) under Lathyrus oleraceus (garden pea). RNAcentral's name for it is "Pisum sativum (pea) long non-coding RNA (PSAT_LNC031656)". Lineage: Eukaryota; Viridiplantae; Streptophyta; Magnoliopsida; Fabales; Fabaceae. The record is from RNAcentral.